CCUCCUAUUUGGUAAUAUAGUAUUUCUCAGUUGUCCCAUUUCUGUCAUUACACAAGGACACUUUUGGUUGUUCACAGUCCUGUUUUUCGAACCUGACCUCCAGAAACUGUUGGUAUUUUCAGGAAAAUAGAUCUCUACUUUCCUCCCAGGUGUUCACACACAUCCAGACACCUAAGUACCAGAAUAAAUGCAUUUAGAUCUCUUGAAAGACGUGACUCUCAGAUGAAGCACCUGCUACUUCAGAGAAACACAAAGCUUCAAAGCCACCCUGUGAUCAAAGUAUUUUGGGCUGGAUCCAACACAGACAGAGUCAACCGCAACGGCUCCAUUGUCUUGGAAGGUGCAAGCUCAAUACCAACCUGCAAGCCUUUACAUGACCCUCGGGAUAUGUUGCCACAAAAGUUGCCAGAAGGAUAGCCAUGAUUCUCUGUUACCCAAAAAGAAACAGUUAUUUGGUAAUUUACAGCACAAUCCCUACAUGGUUACUCAGAAGUAAAUCUCAAUGAAAACUGUAGGAUAUACUCCCAGGUAAGUGUAUAUAGGACUACCUAAAGACUACUUUGUGUACGUUUCCCUCCCAACCCUCAUUUGUACCUUGGCUUGAAUGAAGAAAAGAGGGUUAGUUGGGUACAUACACUUCAUGACCCAGCAGGAUUCUCUCAAUCUGCUUUGGGAACCCUAUAUAUUUCUCAUAUCAGAAGUAUGUCAGAUCAUUCAGCCAGGAUAUAAGAUUUCCCCCUGUUGUCCUAAUCAGUAAAGCAUGCUUUUAAAAUAUGAAAUCGUCCCCAAAUCUUGUUGAUCUGAACAGGCAUUUCUCUUCUUUCGUCUCACAGCUUCACCAGGGGAUUCUUAUUUUUAUUUGGACUAUGACAAAGAAUCAAACCCUUCCUUGAAAUCAUCAUCCUGGUUCUCACUGGGACCACAGUGGCUGCUAAUUAAAGACUUAACAAAGAUUUCCCUAAUUCCAAGUGACAUACUUAAUGGGCCAGAACACUACUGGUGUUCAUGUAUGGUUGUGUAAUUUGCUGGGGCUAAUUGUGGUUUCCUGAUAACAUCCUGGGAUGCAUUUUUUUAUGAGUCAUUCAUCUGAUUGCACCAUCGAGAUGCAUUCUGACACCUUAUCAAUUAGCCACAGCAAGUCAAAC
This 1145-nucleotide long non-coding RNA is filed under the name Pogona vitticeps (central bearded dragon). RNAcentral's name for it is "lncRNA (ENSPVIG00000001622.1)". Lineage: Eukaryota; Metazoa; Chordata; Lepidosauria; Squamata; Agamidae. The record is from RNAcentral.